CUAGCGACUUCAGAGUUUGAUCCUGGCUCAGAACGAACGCUGGCGGCGCGUCUUAAGCAUGCAAGUCGAACGGCAAGAUUAGUGCUUGCACUAAUCCUAGAGUGGCGGACUGGUGAGUAACGCGUGGGUGACGUACCCUUCUGAUGGGGAUAGCUACUAGAAAUAGUAGAUAAUACCGAAUACGAUUCCGUAAGUUAGAGGUGCGGAAUGAAAGGAGCUUCGGCUCCGCGGAAGGAACGGCCCGCGUACCAUUAGCUAGUUGGUGUGGUAACGGCAUACCAAGGCGAUGAUGGUUACCCGGCCUAAGAGGGUGAUCGGGCACAUUGGGACUGAGAUACGGCCCAG
This 345-nucleotide ribosomal RNA is filed under the name uncultured bacterium. Its description in RNAcentral is "bacterial SSU rRNA". It matches the Rfam family "Bacterial small subunit ribosomal RNA", at positions 1 to 334 of the family's 1533-position model. The record is from RNAcentral.